GACGAACGCUGGCGGCGUGCUUAACACAUGCAAGUCGAGCGGAAAGGCCACUUCGGUGGUACUCGAGCGGCGAACGGGUGAGUAACACGUGAGUAAUCUGCCCCUGGCUUUGGGAUAGCCACCGGAAACGGUGAUUAAUACCGGAUACGACCACUUCUCGCAUGGGAUGGUGGUGGAAAGUUUUUUCGGCCAGGGAUGUGCUCGCGGCCUAUCAGCUUGAUGGUGAGGUAAUGGCUCACCAUGGCUUCGACGGGUAGCCGGCCUGAGAGGGUGGCCGGUCACACUGGAACUGAGACACGGCUCAGACUCCUACGGGAGGCAGCAGUGGGGAAUAUUGGACAAUGGGCGGAAGCCUGAUCCAGCAACGCCGCGUGAGGGAUGACGGCCUUCGGGUUGUAAACCUCUUUCAGCAGGGACGAAGCGCAAGUGACGGUACCUGCAGAAGAAGCACCGGCCAACUACGUGCCAGCCGCCGCUGUAA
RNAcentral lists this ribosomal RNA (481 nucleotides) under uncultured bacterium. RNAcentral's name for it is "partial 16S ribosomal RNA". It matches the Rfam family "Bacterial small subunit ribosomal RNA", at positions 28 to 523 of the family's 1533-position model. The record is from RNAcentral.